UACGAAGGGGGCUAGCGUUGCUCGGAAUUACUGGGCGUAAAGGGCGCGUAGGCGGAUAUUUAAGUUGGGGGUGAAAUCCCGGGGCUCAACCUCGGAAUUGCCUUCAAAACUGGAUAUCUUGAGUUCGGGAGAGGUGAGUGGAACUCCGAGUGUAGAGGUGAAAUUCGUAGAUAUUCGGAAGAACACCAGUGGCGAAGGCGACUUACUGGACACAUAUUGACGCUGAGGUGCGAAAGCGUGGGGAGCAAACAGG
RNAcentral lists this ribosomal RNA (253 nucleotides) under uncultured bacterium. Its description in RNAcentral is "partial 16S ribosomal RNA". It matches the Rfam family "Bacterial small subunit ribosomal RNA", at positions 524 to 776 of the family's 1533-position model. The record is from RNAcentral.